AUACAAGGAGUCUGGUUUGUUAUUUCAAUGUGCUAAACUCAGCUACCAAGUUUUCGAGAGUCACAACCAAUUACAAUAUCUAAGGAGAAAAUGGCUGCAGCCAAAUCUGCUAUUGGCACUGGACAGACCGACAUCAGUUCACUAGAACCAGUGAAGCCGGCUGACCCUCACGUGAUCCAGAUCGGACAAUUUGUAGUGGAACAAGCUCACCACGGCAAGCUGCUUUUCGUCGCCGUGGUUGGCGGAUUCACGUGGAGCGUCAUUGGAGGCAAUUACUACGCACUUAUCAUUGAAAACCAGGAUUAUGAGGGCGCCACAUAUCUGCACAAAGCACUUGUUUUUGAGACCCCAGAUGGAGUCUUGACACUCAUCUGGCACAAGAAAUAAUCAAACACUGCCGUUGAUCAACUGACUAUCAACGUCUUGAAGUACUUUAAUUAUCUAUCACUGUCUUUGGUGUGGUUUUCAAUUUAUGCAUGGAUGAUGUACUGCUGGCACGCAUACAUCUCCCCACUGUUGUACUAGCAUGUAAGGUGCAGCUGUACCAGCAAAAAUGCACCAUUAAAUAAAAAAUGCCGUCUGCAUUUGUGUUUGUAUCCUUGUUUUAGUAUGUCAAAGGUGCACUUAUGAGAACAAAAAUGCACCAUUAAAUAAAUAAAAACAGCAGUCUGUGUUUGAAUUUGU
Molecule: long non-coding RNA, 684 nt
Organism: Coffea arabica (coffee)
Lineage: Eukaryota; Viridiplantae; Streptophyta; Magnoliopsida; Gentianales; Rubiaceae
Source: RefSeq, a predicted model, not a curated record